This 193-nucleotide small RNA is filed under the name Arabidopsis thaliana (thale cress). RNAcentral describes it as "ATSL084990". Lineage: Eukaryota; Viridiplantae; Streptophyta; Magnoliopsida; Brassicales; Brassicaceae. The record is from RNAcentral.
UUUAUUUUUAAUUGUGAAGAGUUCUAUUAAGGAACGCACGAUUUAGGGUGUACUAAGUUGGUAUACAUAGUAGAUGAGUAAUACAUGUAUACCCAUUCUAGUUUUUGUUAGAAAUCCAUGCAUAUAUGUCUUAACGUUUUUGAAUAUUUCUUUUCAAGGUACCUUUAAAACUUUGAUUGUUUUAGAAAAAAAC